CAAGAGGUCCCUAAUCUGGCUUAUUAAUCAAAUUAAAUAAAACCAAAUUCAAGUACUAGUUUUAAUGGAAUUGUUUAGACCGAGUUCCAAACACACAGUAGGGAGCUCCUUAUGUAUUCAACAGACCUAUGCAAUUCUUGAAUUUUGAUUGUCAGAAUAGGGUACAUUGUAAAUAAAACAAAAUUGCAGUAUGAGUAACAUCCAAAAUGCAAAAGUUUUGAAGAUUCUGCUGUCACCGGUUGGCAAGAUGAUUCCUUGGGUUAUGAAGAUCUUAAGAACACUGAAGGAUAUCACAUUGAUUACCAGUGUUCUUUUUGCACAAAUGUUUCGGACAAGAUCCCAGAUAAAUACUCACCCAUCAGUUAUCCUUUCCUGGUUUCUUCUCCGAAAACCUCAAAUUGGAUAUGGUUUGACAGAUCUUAAGCUGAAAAACUUCAGAAAAUUCCCUGAUAAAAGAUUUGUAAGUAAUAUCAAUCAACUGGAGAUCGUCAAGUUGAUGUAUAUCUACAUUUUCAUAUCCACUGCAAGAUCCAACUUCUUGUAGCAACCCCUUGAUGCUUCCAACCUUUCGGUUCCUAAUCCCACAAGGGACUAUCCAAUCAAAGGGUUUCAAAUUUGUGGUGACAUUCAGUGCCAAACCAUGAUAAGUUAUCCAGUGAGAAACUCUUAUCCCAAUUGCAGCCAGUUUCUGAUCCCCUGAAGCAGAAUUUUGAACAAAAUGAUCAGGAGAGAUUUACAUAUUCCUGUUUCUUCACACGCAUGCAGACAAUCACAUACAAAAUGAAUCCACUUGGGUCAAUUUCCAUAAAUAUAUAGAGUUUACAAGCAGUCAUUAGUCGUUAAUUUAUGGUUUUACAACAUCAAACUAUACUUGAUCAUACAAAGAUCAUUUUAAAGUUCCAGGUCCAGCAGACUAAGUUGCUACAACGAGGGGAUGAACAUGCAUGUAAAAGAAUCACAGACAAAGGACAAAGAACGUACCAACCCAAACUCCAGUUAAACCAUCAACACGUGAAGCCUCAAUUGCGAAGGUUGCGGAAAGAACACGAAUGACCACCUCCUCAAGUGCCCUGAGGUACCAAUGAAGAUCCAUCUUGUGAUUUCGAAGAUUGAUAAUUGGGUACAUAACUAGCUGGCCAGGCCCAUGAUAGGUAACUUCUCCUCCUCGUUCAGUUCGGUAAACAUCAUAAGGAGCAUCUCUUACGUCAAAAUUCAGGUAACCUACAGAACUACGGGUACCCAAUGUAUACACAGGUUGAUGCUGCAAAACGAUCAGCGUAUCCGGGCACUCUUCAUUCCUUUCAAUCAAUGUUCUUUUCUCUCUAACAAUGUCUUUUUGCCAAUUCCAUGCAUCCUCAUAUGGCACUAGUCUUUUGCACAAAUCAAACAGCUCGCACGUUCUCCUAUCAUCUCGAGUUAUUGGGGUGAAGUCAGAUGCUCUCUGAUUUGAAACUCGGUUCAAUGUGACAACAUCGUGCGAGUGUGGCCGGCGACCAUCAGUUGGCCAUGUUGGAAUGAAGCCAAAACUUGAAGUCGCUGUUGCAAAAAUCAUAACUCACCUCUGCAAUUUAGACAAGAAAAGAGAAUAGAAUCGCCCAUUAAUCACACAAGCCCAGUUCUCAAAUUCGAUUUUGAAGCUGCAGAAAAAGAUGAAAAGGAUUUUGAAGAGCGUUCAAAUAAUUUUUGACUUUGCUAUCUCUCCCUUGCCGCAGAGUCUGAGGCCAGCGCCCAGCGGAGAAACCAAAGCCGAUUCCAGAUGAUCUAGACCGUUGGAGGUAGAAACGACCCACAAUCCCACAAUCUGGACGGCCCCAGAUGCUACAGGAAACCCGUUUGCUUAUAGGGAUAGAUGAGACAUUAAAUAAAAAUCUCAAGAUAGUUUUUGAAUAAUU
This 1892-nucleotide unclassified non-coding RNA is filed under the name Hevea brasiliensis (rubber tree). The record is from RNAcentral. Lineage: Eukaryota; Viridiplantae; Streptophyta; Magnoliopsida; Malpighiales; Euphorbiaceae.